This is a long non-coding RNA of Heterocephalus glaber (naked mole-rat), 2899 nucleotides long. Lineage: Eukaryota; Metazoa; Chordata; Mammalia; Rodentia; Bathyergidae. The record is from Ensembl.
CCUUGCACUCCAAAAUCCUGGUACAGCCAAACUGUUCACAGAUAUAAGAAAAUCUCCAGCGUCACAUGGAGGGAUCGGAUAGGGAAGGGUUAAAACAGGCCCUCCCAAGGCUGACAAGCACGACAGUGCUGCUGGAAGCUGAUUGCCAGAUACGACAAACAAAGCGGUGGCAAGGCCACCCGGUUCUUAACCGAGCCAGGGUCCGCCCUCCCGGAUUGUUCAAUAAAGGCCUUAUUUUCCUUAUUGAUGGAAAGACCUCACGAUGGAAACGUGGACGGGUCACUGAGCGCCGGCUUUGAGGAAACCUGCACCGAAGGGGACCGUCGCCGGAUUCCGAGCGCGGCCCCACACCUGCUCUGCAGACACCGAUCGGCUCCCCGGGCGGGUGGGACACUCGACCUCGGCCUGUCGCACUGAGGACCGGUGGGGAGGUGGGGGAUGGCACCCGGGGCGGCGGCCUGGCAGCGGCCCAAAGCCGCGCAGAGGCCGCGGGCUACCGGGGGAAACGGGGGGCCCUCCUCCACCGAGGCCACAGCCGGGCCUAGGUCUCUCUUCAGCACAGUCGCAGCUCACGCCCCACAGCCCCGACCCCGCGGAGCCCGGGUGCCCCGCAUCAGUCCGCCCCCGGGGCUCCCUCUCACUCACCAUCUUCGCAGCGGCGGUUGCAGGGAUUCAGGGGAGGGAGCCGGCGGGAACCGAGUGUGCGGAACAACCUCCUCACACCAGCAGGACGAGAAAGCGAGCGCAGAGCCGACGCGGCACCGUGAGCCUACUAAGGGGCGGUCGCGCGCCUCGGGUCAAAAUGCGCCUGCGCACGUCACGCACUGCCCGCGUUGCUACACGACGGGCCGGCCCGGCAAUGCCCCGCCCCGGGGGCAGCCUGGAGUCCGGACUGCGGGGGCGUCGCUCACCUGCCCGGGGCUGAGGGGCGGGACCCCUUCGCCAGCUCCAGUCUUGAGGGGCGCGGGCAGGUUCUACUUCCUCAACUGCAGACACUUAAUCUUUGGGGGAAAAUAACUCUCAACCUGCUGGAGGCCAGAUGUGCUGAGUUUUUGUCUCCUGAGAAAGGAAGGAGGUGAAGAGUAAGGAAAGGUUUACCGACAGCUCCUGAGAGACAGGAGGGGUCCCAGAAGUGCGUGGCCCCACAGGCGCUUUCUCCAAGAAUGUUCUAUGGAGCAAAAUCACAAGGGAGAUUCUCAGGCCUGGCCAUAUUGUCUCCAUCUUGAGUCCUGGCCCCCUUCAGAUGUGCCUUCAGCAGCAGUUUUGAUGUGUUUUCAUCUUCCACACUGACUCCCUUGAGGGCUUAUCCCUGUCUGACUACCUAUUAAUUUCUACCUAACUUAGCUGUCUAGUAUCUUGAUCUUGUACCUUCCAGCCUCCAAAGCAAUAGGAAUAUAUCUCUGUUUUCUCUGCUGACCCCCAGUCUGUGUGUGGCUUUGUGCUGUACAGCCUGAACAGACUAUAACACAUAAAGUCUCUCCUUGAAUACAGCAUGGGUAUGUUCCAUUUCUGAUUUAGAAGACGUUUUGCAAAUGCAGUACUUGAUCUAUGAACAUGCAAGCACUUUCAUUUGAAGCCAUUAAUAUGACUGGCAGAGAAUAAAUUCACUUUGAAGAGAUUGCAGAGACACCGGUGUUUUGUUUUUUUGUAUUGUUUUGUUUUUUUGGUACUGGGGAUUGAACUCAGGACCUUGCGCUUGCAAGGCAGGUGCCGGCUAAAUCCCUGGCCUGAGACAUGGGUGUUAAUAGUCUGAAAAAGCUCCUUUGCCAGGGGUAAACCCUAUCAGAAGGAAGUGUACAAAACUAUUUUUGAAUCUUUUCCCUGCCUUCCCACAAAUUCACCUCCUCCAUAUCUCCUACCCUUUAUGGUGUUUUGCUGGUUGUAUAGUGUUCUAUAGUUCACUUUCAUACAAUUAAUGAUUAUCUUGGUGACCUGGCCUUAUCAAGAAAUCAUUCCUUAUAAUUGCAGAAAAGCAUGACUGUCCAUUUGUUUAAUCUCUGUCCUACUGAUAGCCGUUUAGUUUCUUUCCAAAGCAUGACUAUCACAGUGUCUCGAUGAACAGCCUUAUGACUAGCCUCUUUGCACACAAGCAAGUACACUUCUCAGAAAAGGACAAAUAAGGGAAUCAGGUACUUGGUUCAAGGCUGAGAGUUCAAGCUCUUCAAAGUAUCUGUGGACAGAAUGUACCAUAAAAAUAUGAAAAGUAAGAAAACAUGCACACACCCCCAAGGUACACUGUUGAAUGAAUGAAUGAAAACAAGUUGCAGCUAGCACUUGGGAAGCUGAAGUAGGAGGAUCGCUGCAAGUUCAAGGCCAGUGUGGGCUACAUAGCACAAAGCAAGCCUGCACUACAAAAAAAAAAGAACAAAAAAGCUGAGGCCCUACAUGAUGAGACUUUCCGCAUUUUUAAAGAUGGUCUAUAUUUUACAGACUUCAAAAUAGUAACCUCAACUGCUAUCAAAUUUUGAUAUGAUUUCACUUAUAAAAGAAGAGCAAAGGCAAGGAAUUCAAAAAUGGCAUAUUGACUUGGUAGUGUUUGGGACCCAUUUCUAUACUGUUGCUUUGCUAUGCAAAGAUUCCUUUCCUGAGGUCACUUCCUACUCCAGAAUGGGUACUGGAACAGGUAUUCCUUCCCUACUCCAAGCAGUAAGAAGGAAGAAAAGGUAAAAAGGGCACCCCUCCGUUUUUCAGGAAACUUCCCAGAAGUACCAUACAGAGUUUUCCCUUUUAUCUCAUUGACCAGAACUUAGUCAUAUGUGAAAUGUAGCAUUAUGAGUAGCAUUAUGCUCAGCUAAGAAAUCAGGAUGCCUCCUUUACUAAGGAAGAAGGGGAAAUAGAUAUUGGGAGAUAACUAGUGGUGACUGCCAUAAGUAGUCACCACUACUGUCUCAUUCCACAG